Ctenopharyngodon idella (grass carp) is the source of this 519-nucleotide long non-coding RNA. RefSeq lists it as uncharacterized. The record is from RefSeq and is a predicted model, not a curated record. Lineage: Eukaryota; Metazoa; Chordata; Actinopteri; Cypriniformes; Xenocyprididae. The transcript is spliced from 2 exons.
GUGUCACAACAAUGAGGCUGAUUUCAGAGCUUUAAUAUACUGCAUUCAUGAUGUCAUUUGCAUGUUUGUGGUGCAGUGAUUCAUCUGAUUCGUGUUUCCACCGCAGACAGACGCUUCUCAUGCUCCAUUACAGAUCAGAAGGACUGAUGGGAUGUUGGCAAGGCAUAAUGGACGGUGCAACACAAGCUUCUCUGAAGAGAAAUCCUGCAGGAUUCCAGGCAUGUGUUUCUGUGGAAUUGCCGGAUUGAUGCUCAGGAACUGCUUCACGGAUGAGAGGCUUUGAUAAAUGUGUGAAUGUAAAUUCAGUCGUCCCGUCACCUUAAUCUAAACUCGCCGGUUGUGAUUUGCACAUGUUUUGCAUGAGAUCUGAAGCUUCUGCUGUUGAGUAACUGUUUAAAUUUCCAGUUUCAGCUUUGUUUCACUUCAAGUUUGUCCACUGCGGAUUCAUUUCUUCAUGAAUGAAACUUGUGACUGAGACAUGAUUGUUCAUAUUUAAAAUAAAAGGAAUGUAAAAGAUUA